UGCGUAUAAAUGGGGGUGCCUGGGUGGCUUAGUCGGUUGAGCAUCUGAUUUCCGCGCAGGUCGUGAUCUCGUGGUUUGUGGGUUCGAGCCCCACAUCGGGCUCUGUGCUGACAGGGCGGAGCCUGCUUAGGAUUCUCUGUCUGUCUGUCUCUCUCUCUCUCUCUCUCUCUCUCUCUUUCUCUCUGCCCCUCCCCGACUUGUACUCUCUCUCUUUCUCAAAAAUAAACAUUAAAAAAAAAUUUAAAAACGAUUAUAAAUGGAGAAUAACGUUUCUGAUUCUGAGCUUUUCCUUUAAAGGCGGCUAUAAGAAGAAUAAGCAGCAACGGGUUGAAUGUGCCAUGUGGAUGUGCUCAUGGGCGUAUCCCUUUUACCCACAGAGCAGGCAGGCGGGGGAGAGAGGCAGGGGAUGGUGUGGGAAGGUGCACAGAAGCCUCUGUAGACAGGUGAAUGAAGAGUAGCAAAGGCAGCCCUCUUGAGGGAAUCGUGAGGAUAAUUCUGGCCCUGGAGUUCUAGCUUCCGCCAUCUUUUCCACGUCCCCAGAGGGCCCUGCCUUCUGGUUUCUCAGACAGUUAUACCCUCUUGUUUUUUCCAGCAGGUUCCAUAUCUUGUAUGUAGGGAAGGAGAUGUGAGCUUGGUUAGUACACUCGAUGGAUGUGCCAUUUUUCCUUUUUGGGUAGAAAGUGCAGUUCUUAUUUUCUGGGUUGAGAUAAGAAACAUUGGUAAUUUUUGUGUAAGUGUGAUAAGGCACUUAUCCAUAAAACUGGGACUGUUUUUUUUUUUUUUUUUUUGCUGGUAUUUUUGCAAGUCAUAGCCCCUCAAAAAUUGCCAAGGCCUUGACAUGCUAUAAUGAUCUCCUCGUGGUCAAUUCCAUCUUCAAAUAUACUGGUCCCUUGUAUUCUUUGUUGGGUCUCUUUGAUUUUUUAAAGCAACUGUAGCAGAAAUAUGAUUUGAAAGGCCAAACCCAAGUAAAGACUAGGCUUUUCUUUUUUCUUUUUCUCUUCUCACCUGGCUUUCUAGACCUUGAUGAGAGGUACUUACAUGAAGCCCACCCCUAGCUUCGAUGUUGGAACCAUUUCAUUUUCCUGACUAAAAGACAAUAUGUAUUUUAAUCAUAUAUAGUAUUUUAUUUGCAAGAUAUUGAACAAUUGUCAGUAUUAUGGGAAUACACCGCUUUCGGCAUAAAUGUUUCUCUGGCAAACAGGCUCCACUCUCUGCCCCCCUUUUUCUUCUUUGGUUUUUGUAGGGCUAAUGUCGGUGUAGGUGGUGAUGUCUGCUCAAAUAUUAUAAUCAUAGUUAAUAUAGUAAACGAGGGGGUGCCUCACCUUUAAUUUCUUCUCAGUUGCGAAUGUUAGGUCUAUCCAGUUAACCUUCAUGUGUAACAUUUCUAGCACGCCCCCCCCCCCCCCCCCCCCCAGCGUGUAUGUAUAUCCUGAGAGCCCUGGUUACGCUCGGCUACAGUUGGAGUGGAAAGGAAAAGUGAAGACUUUCAGCAAAGUAGGACCUGAAUCCUCAGGUUAAUUUUUACCAGAAAAAAAAGAUAGAGAUUAUGGGCAAUUAGUGGCUUUUGUUCUUAUUGUUCUGAUGUUACUGCUUUUGUUCUGUUAAAAUGAAACUGAACUUAUUUUAUCUUUGAAUUAAAUUUUCUUUCUUUUUGGAAAGAAUUUCUAGAAUGAUGAGGAUGAGAAAAAGUGGUUUUUCAUAGGAGGAGAGAAGUUUUUCUUUUUUAUUGAACAGGCAGAUUAAUAUAAAUUUCAAAGGAGAAAUAGCAAAAAAAAAAUCACUUUAAAUCAAGAUAAUAAUUUUUUAGUAAUUGAUCUGAGGCAAUCGUCCUGUUGGUAGUUGAGAAGAUACUUAGGAACGUUUGUUUCUACGGCUUGAAUGUGGGUCUGGUUAUUAGUGGAUUAGAACCCACUGAAUAAAAAAAAUAUCAGUAGUCCAUACUGACCUGAAUAAAUAAAUGAAUAAUAAAUGGGAGAGAAGGGACUGAUCUUUCUUUGUUUUUUUUUAAAUUAAUUAAUUUUUAAGUUUACAUCCAAGUUAGUUAGUAUAUAGUGCAACAAUGGUUUCAGGAAUAGAUUCCCUAGUGCCCCUUACCCAUUCAGCCCAUCACCCCGGCCAUAACCCCUCCAGCAACCCUCUUUGUUCUCUAUAUUUAAGAGUCUCUUAUGUUUUGUCCCCCUCCCUGUUUUUACAUUAUUUUUCUUUCCCUUUCCUUGUGUUCAUCUGCUUUGUAUAUUAGAUUCCUCAUAUGAGGGAAAUCAUAUGAUAUGUCUUUCUCCAAUUUCGCUCAGCAUAAUGCCCUCCGGUUCCAACCACGUAGUUGCAGAUGGCAAGAUUUCAUUCUUUUUGAUUGCUGAGUAAUACUCCAGUGUGUGUGUGUGUGUGUGCCCACGUGCGCACGCGUGUAUAUGUGUACACACACACACACCACAUCUUCUUUAUCCAUUCAUCUAUUGAUGGACAUUUGGGCUCUUUCCAUACUUUGGCUAUUGUCGAUAGUGCUGCUGUAAACAUUGGGGUGCAUGUGUCCCUCAGAAACAGCACACCUGUAUCCCUUGGAUAAAUACCUACUGGUGGGUCGUUUUUUGAGGAACCUCCGUACUGUUUUCCAGAGUGGCUGCACCAGCUUGCAUUCCUACCAACAAUGCAAAA
This is a long non-coding RNA of Neofelis nebulosa (Clouded leopard), 2652 nucleotides long. RefSeq lists it as uncharacterized. The transcript has 2 exons. NCBI's taxonomy places the organism in Eukaryota, Metazoa, Chordata, Mammalia, Carnivora, Felidae. The record is from RefSeq and is a predicted model, not a curated record.